Molecule: long non-coding RNA, 1905 nt
Organism: Esox lucius (northern pike)
Lineage: Eukaryota; Metazoa; Chordata; Actinopteri; Esociformes; Esocidae
Source: Ensembl
UUAUCAGUCUAUAAUUUUAAUGGUAGGUUUAUCUGAACAGUGAGAAUAACAACAAAAAAAUCCAGAAAAACCCAUGUCAAAAAUUUUAUAAAUUGAUUUGCAUUUUAAUGAGUGAAAUAAGUAUUCGAUCCCUCUGUAAAACAUGACUUAGUACUUGGUGGCAAAACCCUUGUUGGCAAUCACAGAGGUCAGACGUUUCUUGUAGUUGGCCACCAGGUUUGCACACAUCUCAGGAGGGAUUUUGUCCCACUCCUCUUUGCAGAUCUUCUCCAAGUCAUUAAGGUUUCGAGGCUGACGUUUGGCAACUUGAACCUUCAGCUCCCUCCACAGAAUUUCUAUGGGAUUAUGGUCUGGAGACUGGCUAGGCCACCCCAGAUCCUUAAUGUGCUUCUUCUCGAGUCUCGAUUGGGCGCCCCCCCCGCCCUUAAAAAAAAGUCAAGACUUAUUUAUUUGUUAUGAGCAGAGUUGGGGUUACAUGUAACAGAUAACAAAAAACAGUAACUGUAAUCCGUUAAGUUACCAACAAAAAUAUUGUAAUCAGAUUACAGAAUAAACAAUAUGAUUCCUUAUAUUGAAAAAGAAUAUGUGCGCGAAAUAAGUUCUUUGAGUUUAUUAUUUAAUGUUAUAAAAACAUUGUUAUUGGAACCAAAAUAUGAAUUGCACGCCUCAGUUGUGUGUAUGAUCAUUAUGCGUGCACCAGUUUCAUUUGUUGAUACUCCUUUAUUUAAAAAAAGAAUUUGUACAGCUGCUAUUGCACUUGUAUUUAUUUUGUGUUUAUGAAAGUAAAAUGAAGAAGUGUUAUUUCCCCUGAAGUUGGCUUAUUUUUUUGGGGGGGGCAACAUUUAGAUAUCUUGCCUAGGGUGCCAGAUUGCCCAGAAACGCCUCUGACGGUGGGGAUGGUGUUCUUGGAGUCAUAGGCAGCAUUCCUCCUCCUCCAAACACGGCGAGUUGAGUUGAUGCCAAAGAGCUCGAUUUUGGUCUCAUCUGACCACAACACUUUCACCCAGUUCUCCUCUGAAUCAUUCAGAUGUUCAUUGGCAAACUUCAGACAGGCCUGUACAUGUGCUUUCUUGAGCAGGGGGACCUUUUCGGGCGCUGCAGGAUUUCAGUCCUUCACGGCACAGUGUGUUACCAAUUGUUUUCUUGGUUACUAUGGUCCCAGCUGCCUGAGAUCAUUGACAAGAUCCUCCCGUGUAGUUUAGGGCUGAUUCCUCACCGUUCUCCAGAAGGUGAGAUCUUGUAUGGAGUUCCAGACCAAGGGAGAUUGACAGUUCUUUUGUGUUUCUUCCAUUUGCGAAUAAUCGCACCAACUGUUGUCACCUUCUCACCAAGCUGCUUGGCGAUGAUCUUGUAGCCCAUUCCAGCCUUGUGUAUGUCUACAAUCUUGUCCCUGACAUCUUUGGAGAGCUCUUUGGUCUUGGCCAUGGUGGAGGGUUUGGAAUCUGAUUGAUUGAUUGCUUAAAUUAAAGUGCAGUAACAAGCUGAGAUUAGCAGCACACCCUUUAAGAGUGUGCUCCUAAUCUCAGCGCAUUACCUGUAUAAAAGACACCUGGGAGCCAGAAAUCUUUCUGAUUGAGAGGGGAUGAAAUACUUAUUUCACUCAUUAAAAUGCAAAUCGAUUUAUAACAGUUUUGACAUGCGUUUUUCCCAGGAUUUAUUUUGUUGUUAUUCUGUCUCUCAGUGUUCAAAUGAACCUACCAUUAAAAUUAUAGACUGAUCAUUUCUUUGUCAGUGGGCAGACGUACAGAAUCAGCAGGGGAUCAAAUCAUUUUUACCCUCACUGUAGGAAACACCUCCGAAUCCUUCUCACUGCACUUUCAUUUAAUCAAGAGCCAAAGUUUUAGUGUGAUAGGAUGUUCUAUAGAGGUUCUGUUGUAUCUAUAGUCAAGAGGACUUUAAGGGGGU